UUCAAGCGUAUGCUAGUACACGUGGACACCUACCCUAAGGAGGGGGAUAACCCCGGGAAACUGGGGAUAAUACCCCAUAGACUAGAGAAGCUGGAAUGCUCUCAAGUCCAAAGGUCCGCCGCCUUAGGAUGGGUCUGCGGUCGAUUAGGUUGUUGUUGGGGUAACGGCCCAACAAGCCCGUGAUCGAUACGGGUUGUGAGAGCAAGAGCCCGGAGAUGGAUUCUGAGACACGAAUCCAGGCCCUACGGGGCGCAGCAGGCGCGAAAACUUUACAAUGCGGGAAACCGUGAUAAGGGAACCCCGAGUGCCCGUAAAUUCGGGCUGUCCAUCAGCGUAAAUAACUGGUGAAGAAAGGGCCGGGCAAGACCGGUGCCAGCCGCCGCGGUAAUACCGGCGGCUCGAGUGGUGGCCACUAUUAUUGGGCUUAAAGCGUCCGUAGCUUGGUUGUUAAGUCUCUUGGGAAAUCUACCGGCUCAACCGGUAGGCGUUCAGGAGAUACUGGCAAUCUAGGGACCGGGAGAGGUGAGAGGUACUCCAGGGGUAGGAGUGAAAUCCUGUAAUCCUUGGGGGACCACCUGUGGCGAAGGCGUCUCACUAGAACGGCUCCGACAGUGAGGGACGAAAGCUGGGGGAGCAAACCGGAUUAGAUACCCGGGUAGUCCCAGCUGUAAACGAUGCGCGUUAGGUGUAUCGGUGACCACGAGUCACCGAGGUGCCGAAGGGAAACCGUGAAACGUGCCGCCUGGGAAGUACGGUCGCAAGGCUGAAACUUAAAGGAAUUGGCGGGGGAGCACCACAACAGGUGGAGCCUGCGGUUUAAUCGGACUCAACGCCGGAAAGCUCACCGGAUAAGACAGCGGAAUGAUAGCCGGGCUGAAGACUCUGCUUGACUAGCUGAGAGGAGGUGCAUGGCCGUCGUCAGUUUCGUACUGUGAAGCAUCCUGUUAAGUCAGGCAACGAGCCGAGGACCCCGAUUU
RNAcentral lists this ribosomal RNA (977 nucleotides) under uncultured Methanomicrobiales archaeon. RNAcentral describes it as "bacterial SSU rRNA". It matches the Rfam family "Archaeal small subunit ribosomal RNA", at positions 76 to 1060 of the family's 1478-position model. Lineage: Archaea; Methanobacteriati; Methanobacteriota; Methanomicrobia; Methanomicrobiales. The record is from RNAcentral.